This 500-nucleotide ribosomal RNA is filed under the name uncultured bacterium. Its description in RNAcentral is "partial 16S ribosomal RNA". It matches the Rfam family "Bacterial small subunit ribosomal RNA", at positions 30 to 523 of the family's 1533-position model. The record is from RNAcentral.
AUUGAACGCUGGCGGCAUGCCUUACACAUGCAAGUCGAACGGCAGCGCGGGAGCAAUCCUGGCGGCGAGUGGCGAACGGGUGAGUAAUAUAUCGGAACGUGCCCAUUAUUGGGGGAUAGCCCGGCGAAAGCCGGAUUAAUACCGCAUACGACCUGAGGGUGAAAGCGGGGGAUCGCAAGACCUCGCGCUAUUGGAGCGGCCGAUAUCAGAUUAGCUAGUUGGUGGGGUAAAGGCCUACCAAGGCAACGAUCUGUAGUUGGUCUGAGAGGACGACCAGCCACACUGGGACUGAGACACGGCCCAGACUCCUACGGGAGGCAGCAGUGGGGAAUUUUGGACAAUGGGCGCAAGCCUGAUUCAGCAAUGCCGCGUGCAGGAAGAAGGCCUUCGGGUUGUAAACUGCUUUUGUCAGGGAAGAAAUCCUUUGGGCUAAUACCUCGGAGGGAUGACGGUACCUGAAGGAUAAGUACCGGCUAACUACGUGCCAGCCGCCGCGGUAA